Molecule: long non-coding RNA, 3732 nt
Organism: Oncorhynchus keta (chum salmon)
Lineage: Eukaryota; Metazoa; Chordata; Actinopteri; Salmoniformes; Salmonidae
Exons: 10
Source: RefSeq, a predicted model, not a curated record
AGUCCUAUGCCUGUAAAGUGAUUUGAACGCCAAUCGGCUGCACUCCGGUACUGUACCUGCACCACGAAUAUGACAUCGGUUUUCCUCUAUAUAACCAUUGUAUUUUUUACGCUACUUACCUAUAAUGGUUUGGCAGAGAACCAUAAACCAACCAUUGAAUUAAAUUGUAAUGCCGAUCAUAACCCCAUAUGUACUAACAUCAUGGAUUGUAGAUGGACUGGCUUCUUGAAAGACGUUGUAUUUGAUUGCCCGCUUGAUAAUGACAAGUUUCAAUGUUCAGUGGAGACGGAUGAAGUAAUGAAAUACGAUGAACAACCACAAACAGUACCAGUGGCACCGAUAUGCAAAGACAAUAGAAGCUGUGGAUUCCCUACAACAUUUGUCGGUGAAAGUGUAAGAUGCACCAUACGUAUGAAAAUACAGUCACCAAUAACAUCAAGAGGACCAGAAAAGAUGGAAGAUGGAAAAGGUUUGGCAGAGAACCAUAAACCAACCAUUGAAUUAAAUUGUAAUGCCGAUCAUAACCCCAUAUGUACUAACAUCAUGGAUUGUAGAUGGACUGGCUUCUUGAAAGACGUUGUAUUUGAUUGCCCGCUUGAUAAUGACAAGUUUCAAUGUUCAGUGGAGACGGAUGAAGUAAUGAAAUACGAUGAACAACCACAAACAGUACCAAUGGCACCGAUAUGCAAAGACAAUAGAAGCUGUGGAUUCCCUACAACAUUUGUCGGUGAAAGUGUAAGAUGCACCAUACGUAUGAAAACACAACUACCAACAACAUCAAGAGAACCAGACAAUCUGAAGAAUAAAACAGAGCCAAAACACAAUAUAACCUGGUGGAUUUGGUUAAUAAUUUGCCUUGGCAUUAGCGUUGGCAUUGGUUUUGGGAUGAAUCAAUGUUAGGAGAAAAAGGAUUAAUUUGAGACACGUGAUGAGGCGCAUAUAGAAGUGGAUGGAAUGGUAUAAAAAACAAAUGAGGAGGUAUUAUUGCAGGGGUUAACCUAUGGGUCCACUAGUAUGAGCCAUCAUCACCAUUCAGCCAGCAGGCUAUUUUAAUACUAAUCUCAUUGGGGUAAAUUAAUCACAUUUUUUAAAAGAUAUAUAAAAUCUGCAUGGAUUAGUGUUUGCCAUCAUGUGUGAUGCAGUGAUGAAACACCUGAAAGAAUGCCUACAUUAACAUACAGUACCAGUCAAAAGUUUGGAGACACCUACUCAUUCCAGGGUUUUUCUUAAUCUUUUACUAUUUUCUACAUUGUAGAGUAAUAGUAAAGAAGACAUCAAAACUAUGGAAUAACACAUAUGAAAUCAUGUAGUAAGCAAAAAAAGUGUUCAACAAAUCCAAAUAUAUUUUAGAUUUGAAAUUCUUCAAAGUAGCCACCCUUUGCCUUGAUGACAGCUUGGCACACUCUUGGCAUUCUCUCAACCAGCUUCAUGAGGAAUGCUUGAAGAAGUUCCCACAUAUGCUGAGCAGUUGUUGGCUGCUUUUCCUCCACUCUGCGGUCCAACUCAUCCCAAACAAUCUCAAUUGGGUUGAGUUCGGGUGAUUGUGGAGGACAGGUCAUCUGAUGCAGCACUCCAUCACUCUCCUUGGUCAAAUAGACCUUACACAGCUUGGAGGUGUGUUUUGGGUCAUUGUCCUGUUGAAAACAAAUGAUAGUCCCACUAACCUUACAGUGAAAUGCUUACUUACAGGCCCCUAACCAACAAUGCAGUUUAAAAAAUAUGAAUAAGAAUAAGAAAUAAAAGUAACAAGUAGUUAAAGAGCAGCAGUAAAAUAACAAUAGCGAGACUAUAUACAGGGGGUACCGGUACAGAGUCAAUGUGCAGGGGCACUGGUUAGUUGAGGUAAUAUGUACAUGUAGGUAGAGUUAUUAAAGUGACUAUGCAUAGAUAAUAACAGAGUAGCAACGGCAUAAUAGAGGGGAGGGGUGGGGGGCAAUGCAAAUAGUCUGGGUAGCCAUUUUAUUAGAUGUUCAGGAGUCUAAUGUUUUGGGGAUAGAAGCUGUUUAGAAGCCUCUUGGACCUAGACUUGGCACUCCGGUACCGCUUGCUGUGUGGUAGCAGAGAGAACAGUCUAUGUUUUGGGGGGCUGGAGUCUUUAACAAUUUUAGGGCCUUCCUCUGACACACCCCCUGGUAUAGAGGUCCUGGAUGGCAGGAAGCCCUCUGUAAUGCCUUGCGGUCGUUGCCAUACCAGGCAAUGGUGCAACCAGUCAGGAUACUGUUGAUGGUGCAGCUGUAAAACCUUUUGAGGAUCUGAGAACCCAUGCCAAAUCUUUUCAGUCUCCUGAGGGGGAAUAGGUUUUGUGCCUUCUUCACGACUGUCUUGGUGUGCUUGGACCAUGUUAGUUUGUUGGUGAUGUGGACGCCAAGGAACUUGAAGCUGCAGGUCCGUCGAUGAGAAUGGGGUCCGGUCCUCCUUUUCCUGUAGUCCACAAUCAUCUCCUUUGACUUGAUCACAUUGAGGGAGAGGUUAUUGUCCUGGCUCCACAUGAAGCUGGUUGAGCUGUCAUCAAGGCAAAGGGUGGCUACUUUGAAGAAUCUCAAAUAUAAAAUAUAUUUUGAUUUGUUUGACACUUUUGGUUACUACAUGAUUCCAUAUGUGUUAGUUACUUCAUAGUUUUGAUGUCUUCACUAUUAUUCUACAAUGUAGAAAAUAGUCCAAAUGAAGAAAAACCCUGGAAUGAGUAGCUGUGUCCAAACUGUUGACUGGUACUGUACCUUAACAGAAAGUUUGAAAAUGGUUUACAGUAGUUACUACAAAUGUUAUUAUAAGGAGUAAUUAAUACGACCGCCACAAAAUGACAUACGAUCAAAGGCUUCUCCCUCUUCUAUUGUUAGUUUAAUAAUCUGAUAAUAUGUGAAGCAUGACUCAGGUGGAACGUGGGAGGUUUCCUAACAUACACUCACUUAAUCUACUCCCCAUGACUCAACCUUACUGUUAACUGCUGGGGCUCAAACUGGAUAUAGCUGUUUUAUUGUUUGUGACACUAUUAACUACACUAACUGCAUUAAUCAGUUUUUUCAAUUUUGCCUUCAUCCUAACCCCAUUUACAAUACUUUCUUCAAGAUACCAAACAAAUAACAUAAUAUUUGGUUAAGAUAUAAUAAGAUGAUCAUUUUAGAAGAGAGCAAAGGACUUUUUUUGUCCAUGUCACUGGAAUGAUGGAAUGAACUGUAUUUGUCCAUACAGUGUAGUUCCUGUUUUGCCUAACCCUCUCCUACCUAGGACUUAUUGUUUACUACUUUUAAAUAUUUGUGCUCAAUUUUAAUUAUUGAAAUGUUUUUUUUAUCUGUAAUUUAGGAUGUUAUAAUUGUGGGGAUUUCUUCUACUGUUGUUUUUGAUUUACAGUACCUACGGUGCAUUUUGUGCUUGCUUCAUUAUCCUUAUUGGGAUGCACUCAUUGCUUGAUCAUCAGCUAAAUUAUUGAAUUGUUCAUUGCAAUUCUAAUGUUACAUUUUAGAUGUUCAAGCAACUUUAAAUAAGGUGAAGAUUUCCUUUCUUAAUUUAAUCGAAAAAAUAACAUUUGAAAUAACCGUAAAUAUGUGAAAACUGUGGAAAAAACAAGCUACAGUCUAAUAUGCAUAUGGAAUUAUAUUGGUGCAGGCACAUGAUUCUACCUUGCACCUAGCAACGCCCUUAAACUGUGAUGAUGUAACAGAACCUCAUGUGCCAUAAUGCUCAGGGAGAUUAGCAGACAUUAAACCAAAUGAAUAAAGCUGGGAUUCAAUCAUU